RNAcentral lists this ribosomal RNA (495 nucleotides) under uncultured bacterium. RNAcentral describes it as "partial 16S ribosomal RNA". It matches the Rfam family "Bacterial small subunit ribosomal RNA", at positions 28 to 507 of the family's 1533-position model. The record is from RNAcentral.
GAUGAACGCUGGCGGCGUGCCUAAUACAUGCAAGUCGAACGCUGAAGGAGGAGCUUGCUCUUCUGGAUGAGUUGCGAACGGGUGAGUAACGCGUAGGUAACCUGCCUGGUAGCGGGGGAUAACUAUUGGAAACGAUAGCUAAUACCGCAUGACAACAGUUAUUGCAUGAUAACUGUUUAAAAUGGGCAACUGCUCCACUACCAGAUGGACCUGCGUUGUAUUAGCUAGUUGGUGAGGUAACGGCUCACCAAGGCGACGAUACACAGCCGACCUGAGAGGGUGAUCGGCCACACUGGGACUUAGACACGGCCCAGACUCCUACGGGAGGCAGCAGUAGGGAAUCUUCGGCAAUGGACGGAAGUCUGACCGAGCAACGCCGCGUGAGUGAAGAAGGUUUUCGGAUCGUAAAGCUCUGUUGUUAGAGAAGAACGAGUGUGAGAGUGGAAAGUUCACGCUGUGACGGUAUCUUACCAGAAAGGGACGGCUAACUACGUG